This 37-nucleotide small RNA is filed under the name Arabidopsis thaliana (thale cress). Its description in RNAcentral is "ATSL167070". Lineage: Eukaryota; Viridiplantae; Streptophyta; Magnoliopsida; Brassicales; Brassicaceae. The record is from RNAcentral.
UUUAGUUUAUUUAGUCAGGUUUCUAACAGAAAAAAAA